GAUGAAGAACGUAGCAAAAUGCGAUACUUGGUGUGAAUUGCAGAAUCCCGUGAACCAUCGAGUUUUUGAACGCAAGUUGCGCCCGAAGCCUUUUGGCCGAGGGCACGUCUGCCUGGGCGUCACGCAUCGCGUCGCCCCCCACAAUUCUCCGUAAAGGGAACCUGUGUUUUGGGGGCGGAUAUUGGUCUCCCGUGCUCAUGGCGUGGUUGGCCGAAAUAGGAGUCCUUUCGAUGGACGCACGAACUAGUGGUGGUCGUAAAAACCCUCGUCUUUUGUUUCGUGCUGUUGCUCGCAAGGUAAACUCUUUAAAAACCCCAAUGUGUCGUCUCUUGACGACGCUUCGACCGCGACCCCAGGUCAGGCGGGACUACCCGCUGAGUUUAAGCAUAUCAAUAAGCGGAGGA
Molecule: unclassified non-coding RNA, 404 nt
Filed under: soil metagenome
Description: partial contains 5.8S ribosomal RNA, internal transcribed spacer 2, and large subunit ribosomal RNA
Rfam family: 5.8S ribosomal RNA (bases 1-122)
Source: RNAcentral